This 435-nucleotide ribosomal RNA is filed under the name uncultured bacterium. Its description in RNAcentral is "bacterial SSU rRNA". It matches the Rfam family "Bacterial small subunit ribosomal RNA", at positions 355 to 786 of the family's 1533-position model. The record is from RNAcentral.
UGAGGAAUAUUGGUCAAUGGGCGGGAGCCUGAACCAGCCAAGCCGCGUGAGGGAUGAAGGCCCUAUGGGUCGUAAACCUCUUUUGUCAGGGAACAAAAGCGAGUAUGUAUACUAGUCUGAGUGUACCUGAAGAAAAACGCAUCGGCUAACUCCGUGCCAGCAGCCGCGGUAAUACGGAGGAUGCGAGCGUUAUCCGGAUUUAUUGGGUUUAAAGGGUGCGUAGGCGGCGAUGCAAGUCAGCGGUAAAAGCCCGGGGCUCAACCCCGGCGAGCCGUUGAAACUGCAGUGCUAGAGAAGGCGAGAGGUUACGCGGAAUGCGCAGUGUAGCGGUGAAAUGCUUAGAUAUUGCGCAGAACUCCGAUUGCGAAGGCAGUGUACUGGCGCCUGACUGACGCUGAGGCACGAAAGCGUGGGGAUCGAACAGGAUUAGAUACC